CUGGAAUGUAAACAAACUACCAUCACCAAACAUCCACAAUCACCCAUCAUCACAGGACAGCAAAAAGCUGCCCGGUACCACGGCGCAAGCUUUCAGCACAUCUCAAUUUGGACUUGCCACAUUUCAAGCGCUCAGUAGCCACAUGGGGCGGGCGGCCAGAGCACUGGAAAGUACAGAUUCGACGCAUCUACAUGCCUGCAAAAGGUUCGUUUUUUCAUUCAUGGCUAAUGCGCCUUCCCUGUCUAUGAAGACUGCAAAUGAACCUGGGUGGGAGCCAUUUACUUCACUGCUCUUCCGGUGGCGGUUAGGGCCUGGCGGGCCGUGAGGAGUGAUCCAAUUCCCGGGCAAGCCAGUUACCAAGGAUUGCUCUGUGAGGCUUCCGAGGAGGCUGUUCUGGCCAAACCGCAAGUCUGAGUGGGGAGCGGACUCAUCAUCCCGAGGGCAGAGUUGUUCCUCUGAACACUCUGGGUAAAGCCAGGGCUCUCCUUGUGUGAAGGGAACAGUUUCUUGGGCUCCCUCCUUUCCUUUACCUCCCUUUCUCUCUGCUCCAUGCAUGUGUUUUCAAAAUAUGCAGCACCCGAAUCCUUCCCUUCUGCUACUCCUUCAGAGCUGCUCCUGAGCCUUCAAUUAAAGCAGAGCAUUAGCU
Molecule: long non-coding RNA, 646 nt
Organism: Zalophus californianus (California sea lion)
Lineage: Eukaryota; Metazoa; Chordata; Mammalia; Carnivora; Otariidae
Exons: 3
Source: RefSeq, a predicted model, not a curated record